RNAcentral lists this ribosomal RNA (1552 nucleotides) under Escherichia coli. RNAcentral describes it as "bacterial SSU rRNA". It matches the Rfam family "Bacterial small subunit ribosomal RNA". The record is from RNAcentral. Lineage: Bacteria; Pseudomonadati; Pseudomonadota; Gammaproteobacteria; Enterobacterales; Enterobacteriaceae.
AAAUUGAAGAGUUUGAUCAUGGCUCAGAUUGAACGCUGGCGGCAGGCCUAACACAUGCAAGUCGAACGGUAACAGGAAACAGCUUGCUGUUUCGCUGACGAGUGGCGGACGGGUGAGUAAUGUCUGGGAAACUGCCUGAUGGAGGGGGAUAACUACUGGAAACGGUAGCUAAUACCGCAUAACGUCGCAAGACCAAAGAGGGGGACCUUCGGGCCUCUUGCCAUCGGAUGUGCCCAGAUGGGAUUAGCUUGUUGGUGGGGUAACGGCUCACCAAGGCGACGAUCCCUAGCUGGUCUGAGAGGAUGACCAGCCACACUGGAACUGAGACACGGUCCAGACUCCUACGGGAGGCAGCAGUGGGGAAUAUUGCACAAUGGGCGCAAGCCUGAUGCAGCCAUGCCGCGUGUAUGAAGAAGGCCUUCGGGUUGUAAAGUACUUUCAGCGGGGAGGAAGGGAGUAAAGUUAAUACCUUUGCUCAUUGACGUUACCCGCAGAAGAAGCACCGGCUAACUCCGUGCCAGCAGCCGCGGUAAUACGGAGGGUGCAAGCGUUAAUCGGAAUUACUGGGCGUAAAGCGCACGCAGGCGGUUUGUUAAGUCAGAUGUGAAAUCCCCGGGCUCAACCUGGGAACUGCAUCUGAUACUGGCAAGCUUGAGUCUCGUAGAGGGGGGUAGAAUUCCAGGUGUAGCGGUGAAAUGCGUAGAGAUCUGGAGGAAUACCGGUGGCGAAGGCGGCCCCCUGGACGAAGACUGACGCUCAGGUGCGAAAGCGUGGGGAGCAAACAGGAUUAGAUACCCUGGUAGUCCACGCCGUAAACGAUGUCGACUUGGAGGUUGUGCCCUUGAGGCGUGGCUUCCGGAGCUAACGCGUUAAGUCGACCGCCUGGGGAGUACGGCCGCAAGGUUAAAACUCAAAUGAAUUGACGGGGGCCCGCACAAGCGGUGGAGCAUGUGGUUUAAUUCGAUGCAACGCGAAGAACCUUACCUGGUCUUGACAUCCACAGAACUUUCCAGAGAUGGAUUGGUGCCUUCGGGAACUGUGAGACAGGUGCUGCAUGGCUGUCGUCAGCUCGUGUUGUGAAAUGUUGGGUUAAGUCCCGCAACGAGCGCAACCCUUAUCCUUUGUUGCCAGCGGUCCGGCCGGGAACUCAAAGGAGACUGCCAGUGAUAAACUGGAGGAAGGUGGGGAUGACGUCAAGUCAUCAUGGCCCUUACGACCAGGGCUACACACGUGCUACAAUGGCGCAUACAAAGAGAAGCGACCUCGCGAGAGCAAGCGGACCUCAUAAAGUGCGUCGUAGUCCGGAUUGGAGUCUGCAACUCGACUCCAUGAAGUCGGAAUCGCUAGUAAUCGUGGAUCAGAAUGCCACGGUGAAUACGUUCCCGGGCCUUGUACACACCGCCCGUCACACCAUGGGAGUGGGUUGCAAAAGAAGUAGGUAGCUUAACCUUCGGGAGGGCGCUUACCACUUUGUGAUUCAUGACUGGGGUGAAGUCGUAACAAGGUAACCGUAGGGGAACCUGCGGUUGGAUCACCUCCUUACCUUAAAGAA